CGCCCUCUUUAAGAUUUGCAAAAGAUGCCUGGCAACAACAACAAUGAAGAAGCUCAUUUAGGAGUACUGCCAUUGAACUGGGAGAGAGCUGAAACUCAAGAAGGAAUACCAUACUAGAUUAUAAGAAUCACAGCAAUGGAAGAACACAAUGGGAGCAUCCACUACUGACAGAACUAUUCAAGGAACUAAGGCACCAGAUAUCUAGUACAUAGAUUUUGGUCACAUUUCAUCAAUAAUGAAAAGGAGAAAAUUUUCCAUUUUUGU
This is a long non-coding RNA of Amphimedon queenslandica, 264 nucleotides long. RefSeq lists it as uncharacterized. The transcript has 4 exons. NCBI's taxonomy places the organism in Eukaryota, Metazoa, Porifera, Demospongiae, Haplosclerida, Niphatidae. The record is from RefSeq and is a predicted model, not a curated record.